This 433-nucleotide ribosomal RNA is filed under the name uncultured bacterium. Its description in RNAcentral is "partial 16S ribosomal RNA". It matches the Rfam family "Bacterial small subunit ribosomal RNA", at positions 29 to 507 of the family's 1533-position model. The record is from RNAcentral.
AACGAACGCUGGCGGCAUGCCUAACACAUGCAAGUCGAACGAGACCUUCGGGUCUAGUGGCGCACGUGUGCGUAACGCGUGGGAACCUGCCCUUAGGUUCGGAAUAACUCCCCGAAAGGGGUGCUAAUACCGGAUAAUGUCUUCGGCCCAAAGAUUUAUCGCCUUUGGAUGGGCCCGCGUUGGAUUAGUUAGUUGGUAGGGUAAAAGACUACCAAGGCGACGAUCCAUAGCUGGUCUGAGAGGAUGAUCAGCCACACUGGAAAUAAGACACGGCCCAGACUCCUACAGGAGGAAGCAGUGGGGAAUAUUGGACAAUGGGCGAAAGACUGAUCAAGCAAUGACGCGUGAGUGAUGAAGGCCUUAGGGUUGUAAAGCUAUUUUACCCGGGAUGAUAAUGACAGUACAGGGAGAAUAAGCUCCGGCUAACUCCGUG